Molecule: ribosomal RNA, 254 nt
Filed under: uncultured bacterium
Lineage: Bacteria
Description: partial 16S ribosomal RNA
Rfam family: Bacterial small subunit ribosomal RNA
Source: RNAcentral
UACGGAGGGUGCAAGCGUUGUUCGGAAUUAUUGGGCGUAAAGCGCGCGCAGGCGGUCGAAAAAGUCUAUGGGUCAAAGGCCGGGGCUCAACCCCGCGUACGCCCAGGAUACUGUUCGACUGGAGACACGUAGAGGCAAGCGGAAUUUCGGGUGUAGCGGUGGAAUGCGUAGAUAUCCGAAAGAACACCGGAGGCGAAGGCGGCUUGCUGGGCGUGAUCUGACGCUGAGGCGCGAAAGCGUGGGGAGCGAACAGG